Molecule: ribosomal RNA, 551 nt
Filed under: Trichoderma hamatum
Lineage: Eukaryota; Fungi; Ascomycota; Sordariomycetes; Hypocreales; Hypocreaceae
Description: eukaryotic LSU rRNA
Rfam family: 5.8S ribosomal RNA (bases 160-313)
Source: RNAcentral
AUGUGAACGUUACCAAACUGUUGCCUCGGCGGGGUCACGCCCCGGGUGCGUAAAAGCCCCGGAACCAGGCGCCCGCCGGAGGAACCAACCAAACUCUUUCUGUAGUCCCCUCGCGGACGUAUUUCUUACAGCUCUGAGCAAAAAUUCAAAAUGAAUCAAAACUUUCAACAACGGAUCUCUUGGUUCUGGCAUCGAUGAAGAACGCAGCGAAAUGCGAUAAGUAAUGUGAAUUGCAGAAUUCAGUGAAUCAUCGAAUCUUUGAACGCACAUUGCGCCCGCCAGUAUUCUGGCGGGCAUGCCUGUCCGAGCGUCAUUUCAACCCUCGAACCCCUCCGGGGGAUCGGCGUUGGGGAUCGGGACCCCUCACCGGGUGCCGGCCCUGAAAUACAGUGGCGGUCUCGCCGCAGCCUCUCCUGCGCAGUAGUUUGCACAACUCGCACCGGGAGCGCGGCGCGUCCACGUCCGUAAAACACCCAACUUCUGAAAUGUUGACCUCGGAUCAGGUAGGAAUACCCGCUGAACUUAAGCAUAUCAAUAAGCGGAGGGAAACC